Long non-coding RNA from Rattus norvegicus (Norway rat), 335 nucleotides. RefSeq lists it as uncharacterized. The record is from RefSeq and is a predicted model, not a curated record. NCBI's taxonomy places the organism in Eukaryota, Metazoa, Chordata, Mammalia, Rodentia, Muridae.
GGAACAAGAAGGGUAAUAGUAGAAAUGCAGACCCAGGAGAGGGAACACUGUUCACCAUGUGGUGAGGGGGGUCCCUUGGGCUGCAGGGCCAUCUGUGGCCUGUCCAACAAACAAACCACUUGGACUGCAGCAAUGGAGAAUUCUGAUGACCUGGUUUACAGGUGGUUCCAACAUCUGUCCUCACUGAUCUGCAUGACCACCAUUGUCCCUUCUGUGAAGAAGCUCUUGUGUAGAGAAUAUUUUGGGAAACCUAUUGAUGGCCUAUUUGGGACAUGUCAUAUCAGCUGGAGACUUCAUCUAAAUCUCGUGAAUCAAUAAAACAAACAUUAUUGGGA